RNAcentral lists this long non-coding RNA (558 nucleotides) under Homo sapiens (human). Its description in RNAcentral is "novel transcript". Lineage: Eukaryota; Metazoa; Chordata; Mammalia; Primates; Hominidae. The record is from RNAcentral.
AUCUUGUUACCCAUGCAAUGUUGGGGUCAGAGAGUGUAGAGAGUGGUGUGGGGAGAGUGCAGGCUGAAGAGUUACCUAAGGUCAAAAUCCUGACCUAUGAGCCAAGCCAUCGAUUUGGGAUUUCUACUGAGGACACUGGAAGUCACUAAGAGCAUCUGAAUGCCUGGACCCACGCCUUCAUCAAUCUACUGUCAGGGAUAGAUUGUGCAUUUUCUGUGUCCCAGUGGGUGCCCCCCCCCCAAAAUAGAGCAGACAAAGCCUGGCCUGCGAGGGUACUGGUUUAGUUCAACAAAUAUCCAUAGAAUGCCCACUUAGGCAAAAUGGCAUAGGGCAGAUUGCCAAAAUCAGGGUUGACUCGGCCUGGAGCCAUGAAGUGGGUCCAACAGGUCUCUGAACUGAGGCAGGAGGCCCCAGGAUCCCGAGGUGUGCUGUAAAGCCUUUGAUGACAGCAUCUUGUGCCUAACACCUGACCACAUCUGAGCCACUAGAGACAGUACCUGAUAAGGAUGCAGAUGCCUGGGCCCUACCUUCCAAAGUUCUGGCUCAGUAGGUCUGGGG